ACCUCUGGUGCACCAGUUGUCCUGCCAAGGGCAUAGCUGGGUAGCUAUGUACGGACGAGAUAAACGCUGAAGGCAUCUAAGCGUGAAACUCCCCCUAAGAUUAGAUCUCUCAUUCGAAAGAAGUAAGGCACGACGUAGACUAUGUCGUUGAUAGGCCGGAGGUGGAAGCACGGUAACGUGUGCAGCUGACCGGUACUAAUAAGCCGAGGGCUUGACCUU
RNAcentral lists this ribosomal RNA (219 nucleotides) under Flavonifractor sp. RNAcentral describes it as "partial 23S ribosomal RNA". It matches the Rfam family "Bacterial large subunit ribosomal RNA", at positions 2705 to 2925 of the family's 2925-position model. Lineage: Bacteria; Bacillati; Bacillota; Clostridia; Eubacteriales; Oscillospiraceae. The record is from RNAcentral.